Peromyscus maniculatus bairdii (prairie deer mouse) is the source of this 1257-nucleotide non-coding RNA. The record is from RefSeq and is a predicted model, not a curated record. Lineage: Eukaryota; Metazoa; Chordata; Mammalia; Rodentia; Cricetidae.
GAGGCACGAUUGCUCCUGGCAACACCAAUCUGAUCCCGAGAGAAUAUUGAGCUUCUAAGACAUUUCCAUUUAGAAGUUUGUCGUCUUCUUGGCACAAAAUGGCCUCCUGGGCAAAGAACUGCCCUUGCCUCAACUGUGGACAGUACGAAUGCUGUCCUUUAUAGAGGAGCAGGACACAAGGAAAAGCGACUAAUGAACUCUGCCAAGACAUGGAACUACAUAAACAGGAAAUAGUUUGCACACAAAAAUCACCAUACUUCGUAUCUCUGACAUCCCUGUUGGCAUGUACAUAUUCAAAAAGGUGUGAGGGACAAACUAUGUAACUUCAACUUGAUGAUUCUGGGUUGGCUGGCAACAAUCAUGGCAAUAAACUUCCACAAGCAAAUAAAUUUACACAGCCACAAAAUAGGAAGAUGGCCCAGUUGGUGAAGUGCUUUCUGCACAAACCUGAAGAGAUCUCCAGAACUCGGAAGAAAGAAGAAGAAAAAAGGCUAGCACUCAAAAGGUGGAGAUAGGAGAAACCCUGGGGCUUGCUGGCCAAUUCAGUCAGUCUAGCUCAAUCACAGCUGUUCACAAAGAUCUGGAACUAGCAUCUUGAAACACAGCAAGGCAAUUAUCAUCCCUUCAAUCAAAAGGCAACAAGGUUAAACUAACCAGCCAUACAUACCUGUCCUACCAGCUUGACUUACCCAUAAUCAUCUAGACUUUGAAAAAACAGAGAGUGAAUGCAAUGGUGAUUACCAGCCUGAAAACAGUAGGAAGGUGAAGAAAGGCUGAUCGCUGGGUUCUAAGCCACAUGUGGAUAGAAGCAAGAUGCUCUUACAGAUGAACAAAUAUGUACUAUUGCUCUAUAAAAGCUAGAUUUUGAAUGUUUCACCAUACAGAAAUGAGAGAUGACUGAGAAGAAACUUUUAACCUAUUUUAAAACACUACAUAAUCUAUACAUAUAUUGAAGCAUCACUUUUAUUACUAAAUAGACUUUUCAUAUUUUUAUGAUUUAGUUAAAGUGGGGGGAAUCCCAGAGGACCCAGAUGAGCCAGAUGAGCCAACCUAGACUUCCUGACGUACAAAAAUAAUUUUUAUUGUCUUAAGACGCUAAGUGUAUGGUAACUUGUAAGUCAGUAAUGGAAAACCUUUAUAGUGAACAAAAAUGUUAGGGUACCAGGAGCAUGGACUUGUGUUCUAACACAAGGUCAUUCAAGGAUAGCAGAACCAUAUAGAGGCAGGGAGUUUUCUGUGGCACAAUAUCCUUAUAAC